AUUGACAGCGCGCAGUACCUCCUCCCGCUGCGCAAGCCAAUCGAUCGGUUCCGCUCCUCCUCCCAAGGGGCCGAUCAAGAGACCCCGACGCCUCCUCCCGGCUCGGGGUCUUUUU
RNAcentral lists this small RNA (115 nucleotides) under Sinorhizobium terangae. Its description in RNAcentral is "Alphaproteobacterial ar14". It matches the Rfam family "Alphaproteobacterial ar14". From Rfam's summary of the family: Smr14C2 was renamed NfeR1 (Nodule Formation Efficiency RNA) highly expressed in salt stress and during the symbiotic interaction on legume roots. Lineage: Bacteria; Pseudomonadati; Pseudomonadota; Alphaproteobacteria; Hyphomicrobiales; Rhizobiaceae. The record is from Rfam by way of RNAcentral.